This 253-nucleotide ribosomal RNA is filed under the name uncultured bacterium. RNAcentral's name for it is "partial 16S ribosomal RNA". It matches the Rfam family "Bacterial small subunit ribosomal RNA", at positions 524 to 776 of the family's 1533-position model. The record is from RNAcentral.
GACAGAGGGUGCAAACGUUGUUCGGAAUUACUGGGCGUAAAGCGCGUGUAGGCUGCUUCGCAAGUCGGGUGUGAAAGCCCUGGGCUCAACCUAGGAAGUGCACUCGAAACUGCGGAGCUUGAGUCUCGGAGAGGAUCGCGGAAUUCUCGGUGUAGAGGUGAAAUUCGUAGAUAUCGAGAGGAACACCGGUGGCGAAGGCGGCGAUCUGGACGAUGACUGACGCUGAGGAGCGAAAGCCAGGGGAGCAAACGGG